Molecule: ribosomal RNA, 447 nt
Filed under: uncultured bacterium
Lineage: Bacteria
Description: bacterial SSU rRNA
Rfam family: Bacterial small subunit ribosomal RNA
Source: RNAcentral
UCGGGAAUUUUGGGCAAUGGGCGAAAGCCUGACCCAGCAACGCCGCGUGAAGGAUGAAGUAUUUCGGUAUGUAAACUUCGAAAGAAUAGGAAGAAUAAAUGACGGUACUAUUUAUAAGGUCCGGCUAACUACGUGCCAGCAGCCGCGGUAAUACGAAGGGGGCUAGCGUUGUUCGGAUUUACUGGGCGUAAAGCGCGUGUAGGCGGGUCGUUAAGUUGGGGGUGAAAUCCCGAGGCUCAACCUCGGAACUGCCUUCAAAACUGGCGACCUGGACCUAAGUAGAGGCAAGUGGAAUUGCGAGUGUAGAGGUGAAAUUCGUAGAUAUUCGCAGGAACACCAGUGGCGAAGGCGACUUGCUGGACUUAUGGUGACGCUGAGACGCGAAAGCGUGGGGAGCAAACAGGAUUAGAUACCCCUGUAGUCCCUGAGCGGGCUGGCAAGGCGCAU